GUCCAGAUAUUUCUCCCAUGUGAUAUUAUAAAGGCAAUGUGCUCUUGACAUUUAUGUAAUUUUUUCUGGUGAAAUUUGCAGGUGAUAAAUGGAUUCUAGCUUUCUCAAACUGGGACCUACCUCACAUGCAUGAUAGACUGCUAGAAUUUGGAUUAUUGGACUGUGGCUGCUGCAGCACAAACUUCCCUCCUAGAGCAGGAAACACUGCUGUGGGUCAAGAACUGGCUGUUCGCUCCUGGCCACAGCACUGAGAAGAGACUGCAAAUUCUGCCUCCUUAUAGCGAGACACUGUUGGGGUUCCCUUUCAAGUACUUAUUUCCUGUGCAGCAGUGUGACCAGGCAAGCCUGGGGCUCCUCCCGCUUGCAAAAAGAUUUGCCUGCUCUGCUCCUUAGGAAAGCUGCUAGGAACCAGGGAAACUGAGUCAUAAAUGUGUGCCCUCUCGUGUUUGCAGCCCUGCCUCUUUCCACCACUGGAGUAAUAAGGAUCAGAUGACAGUGUGAAUCAGCAGAAAGGUGCGACAUUUGCUGCCGGAAGUCCUAGCCACUAAUUUAUUUCAGGAGAAAGGAAAGAGUUCCCAUGCUAUAAGGAAAUAGCACCUUUAAAACAAAAUUGGGAACACAGUAACUAUACGUCAGUAGGCUUUUAUGAUUUAUUUUCUUCUUUUGGGGGGAGGGAAGAGAAAAUUUAGGAACUCUAUAGUUUCACCACACUAUGUGACUAUACUGGUGUAUCUCUGAUCACGUUGUACUGUCAAUGAGGCACUUUCGAAGCUGCUUUCUUUUCCUUAAUAAAUCGUGUGAGUUAUUUAAUCGUAAAAA
Long non-coding RNA from Acinonyx jubatus (cheetah), 819 nucleotides. RefSeq lists it as uncharacterized. The record is from RefSeq and is a predicted model, not a curated record. The transcript is spliced from 2 exons. NCBI's taxonomy places the organism in Eukaryota, Metazoa, Chordata, Mammalia, Carnivora, Felidae.